Molecule: non-coding RNA, 90 nt
Organism: Rhodocollybia butyracea
Lineage: Eukaryota; Fungi; Basidiomycota; Agaricomycetes; Agaricales; Omphalotaceae
Source: the annotation of a GenBank genome assembly
GGUCUAAUAGUGUAGAGGUUAUCACACGGGAUUUUGAUUGCCAGUUAAGAACCAUUUCCCGUAACCCAGGUUCGAGUCCUGGUUAGACCU